This is a long non-coding RNA of Hyalella azteca, 294 nucleotides long. RefSeq lists it as uncharacterized. The record is from RefSeq and is a predicted model, not a curated record. The transcript is spliced from 3 exons. Lineage: Eukaryota; Metazoa; Arthropoda; Malacostraca; Amphipoda; Hyalellidae.
UUGGUUGUGGUCACGCUCAACUACAGGCUGGGACCUCUAGAUGCCUGCUGGGAUGCGGGCGACGAAGCAGCCUAUCGGACGGCAGCGGCAAGAAGGCUUACCGGAGUGAGGAUUCCUGAAUACAUCACCGACGGGGUCAACACGCAAGGUGGUGGGCAACCAGGGGCUGAUGGACCAGCUUGCCGCGCUGUCGUGGGUGCACGAAAAUAUUGCGGCUUUUGGUGGCGAUCCCGGCAGAGUGACGUUAUUUGGUCAUGCAGCAGGGGCGGCCUGCAUCACCUACCUCAUGGUGUC